UACGGAGGGUGCAAGCGUUAUCCGGAAUCACUGGGUUUAAAGGGUGCGUAGGCGGUUCGUUAAGUCAGUUGUGAAAUUCCCCCGCUUAACGGGAGGGACUGCGAUUGAUACUGAUGAACUUGAAUCAGGUUGAGGUGGGCGGAAUGUGACAUGUAGCGGUGAAAUGCAUAGAUAUGUCAUAGAACACCGAUUGCGAAGGCAGCUUGCUGGACCCGUAUUGACGCUGAGGCACGAAAGCGUGGGGAGCAAACAGG
Molecule: ribosomal RNA, 254 nt
Filed under: uncultured bacterium
Lineage: Bacteria
Description: partial 16S ribosomal RNA
Rfam family: Bacterial small subunit ribosomal RNA
Source: RNAcentral